Amphiprion ocellaris (clown anemonefish) is the source of this 855-nucleotide long non-coding RNA. RefSeq lists it as uncharacterized. The transcript has 3 exons. Lineage: Eukaryota; Metazoa; Chordata; Actinopteri; Pomacentridae. The record is from RefSeq and is a predicted model, not a curated record.
GGAGGCAGCAGAGACUCUGCUCUCCUCAUUUGGAUUAAUUCUGAUAUAAUAACUGCUGGUUUAUUUAUCGGUGGAGCAGCAGAACAUUUUCCACAGACAGUUUUCCUGCCCGUUGGCUUGUUUUAACCAGUUUUCUACCUUCGGCUGAUUCUACCAGCAGACACUGAAAGGACUCUGAUUGUUCAAGUGAAAGUAGCAGUUCCUCCUUAAGGUCAGAGAUUGCAGCAUCUGAGGGCCUCUUCAAAAGAAGACGUAGUUGAUGAAGGCGUUCUGGAGCAGAACCAGAAAGACCACGACCAAGCAGCCUUGGGAUCUUAGGCAGCGUCUCCGUCAGGUCCCUCUCUAUCUCCCCACACAUCCACCAACCACUGGAACACAUCUCCAAAGUUCUGCCGGGUCAGCUCAGCUUCCCCUCAGAAGAAGUGCCGCCACCUGCCAGAUGAAGGAGCCUUUUGAGAGGCAGCUGGCAUCGUGAUUGGACUGUACUUUGGUCUGUUCCAAUCCAGCUUCAGCUCCAGAGACGGCAGGCGGGACGAGUCAACGGAGGCCGGAUGGACGAAGGCAUGCAGCUGAGUACAAUCCAGAAAACAACAGAGGAGGAGUGCAGCGGCUCAGGGCCAGAACACACAGAGUAGCAUCGUAUGUCUCUUAGAAAACAUCAUAGUAUAGCCUUUGGUAUGAAAAAACGCCAUCAUAUACAUCGUAUAUUGUACAAAUAACAAGUCAAAGGAAAGAGACAUACAUUGUAGAAUUGUAGUAAUUGUGGGCUGACUGAUUUACUGAUUAUCAGUAUUUUAUUUUUUACUGAUUUACGGUAAUAAAUGAAUUUAAAAAUGGCGCUACUUUGGCUCUGAA